AGAUGUGAGGGUGCUCUGACUAGGAUCACCGCAGCGAUCACUGGGGCUGAUUCGGGUGAUCUGGCUGUCUAGAUGGGUGCUGCCUGCCUCCCUCAGGGCUCCGGGUGUGUGCCUUCCAGGGUUAGUGCUUGGCUUGGCUGAAGAAGACAAACACCCCCAUCAAGGAGGCCCGAUUCCUUGGUCAAGGGUCUAUGAGUAGCUGGGCUCCCCUGCUAGAACCUCCAGAAAGGUCUCAAGAGCAAUCAGAAGUCAAUUUAGAGUCACAUGUGAGCAGGACAGUGAUUACAAAAGCAAGACCCUCCCUGAAAGUGUGUUACUGCACAGGUGGACCGACAGGGAGAUGUCAAACUUUUUUU
This is an unclassified non-coding RNA of Cavia porcellus (domestic guinea pig), 356 nucleotides long. Its record names the gene 7SK. It matches the Rfam family "7SK RNA". From Rfam's summary of the family: 7SK was discovered as an abundant small nuclear RNA in the mid-70s but a possible function has only recently been suggested. The record is from Ensembl. Lineage: Eukaryota; Metazoa; Chordata; Mammalia; Rodentia; Caviidae.